AGCAGCCGCGGUAAUUCCAGCUCCAAUAGCGUAUAUUAAAGUUGCUGCAGUUAAAAAGCUCGUAGUUGAAUUUCGGGACCAUCAUGUCGGUCGUGCCUCGGUACGUACUGGCAUCGUUGGUUUCUCCCUUCUGAAGAACCUUGAUGUCAUUAAUUUGGUGUCUUGGGAAAUCAGGACUGUUACUUUGAAAAAUUGAGUGUUUAAAGCAGGCUCACGCUUGAAUACAUUAGCAUGGAAUAAUGAAAUAGGACGUUUGAUUCUAUUUUGUUGGUUUCUAGGAUCGACGUAAUGAUUAAUAGGGAUAGUUGGGGGCAUUAGUAUUCAAUUGUCAGAGGUGAAAUUCUUGGAUUUAUUGAAGUACUAACUACUGCGAAAGCAUUUGACCAAGGAUGUUUCAUUAAUCAAGAACGAAAGUUAGGGAU
This 422-nucleotide ribosomal RNA is filed under the name uncultured Glomus. Its description in RNAcentral is "SSU rRNA". It matches the Rfam family "Eukaryotic small subunit ribosomal RNA", at positions 569 to 997 of the family's 1831-position model. Lineage: Eukaryota; Fungi; Glomeromycota; Glomeromycetes; Glomerales; Glomeraceae. The record is from RNAcentral.